AACGAACGCUGGCGGCAUGCCUAACACAUGCAAGUCGAACGAGAUCUUCGGGUCUAGUGGCGCACGGGUGCGUAACGCGUGGGAAUCUGCCCUUUGGUUCGGAAUAACAGUUGGAAACGACUGCUAAUACCGGAUGAUGACGAAAGUCCAAAGAUUUAUCGCCAGAGGAUGAGCCCGCGUAGGAUUAGCUAGUUGGUGUGGUAAAGGCGCACCAAGGUGACGAUCCUUAGCUGGUCUGAGAGGAUGAUCAGCCACACUGGGACUGAGACACGGCCCAGACUCCUACGGGAGGCAGCAGUGGGGAAUAUUGGACAAUGGGCGAAAGCCUGAUCCAGCAAUGCCGCGUGAGUGAUGAAGGCCUUAGGGUUGUAAAGUUCUUUUACCCGGGAUGAUAAUGACAGUACCGGGAGAAUAAGCUCCGGCUAACUCCGUGCCAGCCGCCGCUGUAA
This 449-nucleotide ribosomal RNA is filed under the name uncultured bacterium. RNAcentral's name for it is "partial 16S ribosomal RNA". It matches the Rfam family "Bacterial small subunit ribosomal RNA", at positions 29 to 523 of the family's 1533-position model. The record is from RNAcentral.